GCCCACCCCACUGAGGAUCUCUCUCUAGCUCGCUCGCUCUCUCUCUCUCUCUCUUUCCUCUGUUAAUUCAGUUCUGGACAGCGCCGGGUACUGAUGCUGCUGCUCCUGUAGUCGCAUCUAUCCUGGGGGCCUCCUCCCACUCAUCACACCUCGAGAAUCCGCAUGUAGAGCCGCUCGGUCUCUGUCGCAGAAAAGUCUCCGCAGUACUGCAUCGGAAUAAGGGCUCAGUGCAAAAAAUUUUCUUCAGCUGUAUUCGUGGUUGUGAGUGUGGCGCUUUCUGCAUCAACGCAAAGGAAGUUCUUUUCAGUGGUGCGGUGGGUGAUGCUCUGAGAUGCGUCGCGUUUAGCGCACGGUACCCCGAUUUAUUCGCCUAGAAGGGAGAAUAGAAAACCCAACAGUGACUGAGGCGAAUUUUAACUUUGUCUGAUAUUGAUUCGGAUUUGCUUGGGAGAUCUUGAGCAUCAGGAUGUUUUGAAGGGCGCUCUCCAAACGGGUUACUGAAGAUUUCGCCUCCAACAGAAGCGCAUCCGAGGCAAAAAAGCAUCGGCUGACAGUUUGAAAGGAGGACAAGCAGUCUCUGCACAGGAUUUAAAACUACCAUCGCUUCGGCAUUUUUCUGAACCUAACGAGGAGAGAUUUUAACAGAGGGAGAGAUGAAAGUUUUUCCGGCAGUAUUGUUUCUGAUCACAUUUUGGAGUCUGGAGUGGGAGCCUGUGCUUCCCGAUUCAAUUAUUCACAUUGGGGCCAUUUUUGAUGAGUCUGCCAAAAAGGAUGAUGAGGUGUUCCGCAUGGCGGUGGCAGAUCUCAACCUCAACAACGAGAUCCUGGAGACAGAGAAGAUCACUGUGUCCGUGGAGUUUGUAGAUGGAAACAACCCUUUCCAAGCAGUGCAGGAAGCCUGCGAGCUGAUGAACAGAGGUAUCUUAGCCUUGGUCAGCUCUAUCGGCUGUAUGUCUGCGGGGUCGCUACAGUCUUUAGCUGACGCGAUGCACAUCCCGCACCUCUUCAUCCAGAGGGCAUCUGCGGGCUCUCCUCGCUCUAGCUGCCCGCCCACCAGUCGCGCCCAACCAGACGACUACACUCUCUUCGUCCGGCCUCCCGUCUACCUAAAUGAUGUCAUCUUCCAAGUGGUGAUGGAGUACACCUGGCAGAAGUUCAUUAUCUUCUACGACACUGACUUUGAUAUCCGGGGUAUAGAGAACUUCCUGGACCAGACAUCUCAGCAGGGGAUGGAUGUGUCUCUCCAGAAGGUGGAAUCCAAUAUUAACAUGAUGAUCACUGGAAUGUUCCGCACCAUGAGGGUGGAAGAGCUGCAUCGCUACAGGGACACACUGAGGCGUGCUGUGCUGUUCAUGAGCCCCGGCACAGCAAAGGCCUUCAUUACUGAGGUGGUGGAAACAAAUCUUGUGGCUUUUGACUGUCACUGGAUCAUCAUAAAUGAGGAGAUUUCAGACAUGGAUGUGCAGGAGCUGGUGAUGAAGUCUAUAGGUCGCCUGACCCUGGUGAGACAGACCUUCCCUCUCCCACAGAACUCCAGCCAGCGCUGCGUCCGGAGCAACCACCGCAUCAACACAUCCCUCUGCGACCCCAAAGACCCAAAGGCACAGAUGUUAGAGAUCACCAACCGCUACAUCUACGACACGGUGCUGCUGCUGGCCAACACUUUCCACAGGAAGCUAGAGGACAGGAAAUGGCACAGCAUGGCGAGUCUUUCGUGCAUCCGCAAGGGCUCCAAACCCUGGCAGGGUGGCAAGUCUAUGCUGGAUACCGUGAAGAAGGGAGGUGUAAGUGGUCUGACCAGCUUGCUGGAGUUUAAUGAUAACGGCAUUAACCCCAACAUCUACUUUGAGAUCCUGGGCACCAACUACGGAGAGGACCGCGGCCGUGGAGUCAGCCGGCUCGCCACUUGGGACCCCAUCCACGGACUGAACGGGACACUGACAGAUCGAAAGCUGGAGAACAACAUGCGCGGGGUGGUCCUACGGGUAGUCACUGUACUGGAAGAGCCAUUUGUGAUGGUCUCAGAAAAUGUGCUUGGCAAACCUAAGAAGUACCAGGGUUUCUCAAUCGAUGUACUGGACGCUCUGGCCAACUACCUUGGCUUCAAAUAUGAGAUCUACGUGGCCCCUGAUCACAAAUAUGGCAGCCAGCAGGCUGAUGGAACCUGGAAUGGUCUUAUAGGAGAACUGGUUUUUAAGAGAGCAGAUGUAGGUCUGUCAGCCCUGACCAUCACUCCUGAGCGGGAGAGCGUGGUAGACUUCACCACUCGCUACAUGGACUACUCCGUCGGUGUGUUGCUGAGGAAGGCGGAGAGGACGGUGGAUAUGUUUGCAUGCCUGGCCCCUUUCGACCUGUCUCUGUGGGCUUGUAUAGCCGGCACAGUGCUGCUGGUGGGCACUCUGGUGUAUCUCCUCAACUGGUUGAACCCUCCCAGACUGCCGAUGGGUUCGGUCUCCUCCACGACCCUCUACAACUCCAUGUGGUUUGUCUACGGCUCCUUCGUUCAACAGGGUGGUGAGGUGCCCUACACGACUUUGGCUACAAGGAUGAUGAUGGGGGUUUGGUGGCUCUUUGCUCUAAUAGUCAUCUCCUCCUACACGGCAAAUCUGGCUGCUUUCCUCACCAUCUCCCGCAUCGAGAACUCCAUUCAGUCUCUGCAGGAUUUGGCUAAGCAGACAGACUUGCCAUACGGCACUGUUCUGGACUCGGCCGUCUACGACCAGGUCCGCAGUAAAGGCAUGAACCCUUUCGAAAGGGACCCAAUGUACUCACAGAUGUGGAGGAUGAUCAACCGGACAGGAGGAGCCGAAAACAAUGUGGAGGAAUCGAAAGAAGGCAUCCGGAAGGUGAAGUACGGGCGUUUUGCAUUUGUGUGGGAUGCAGCUGUGCUGGAGUAUGUGGCCAUUAAUGACGAGGACUGCUCGCUCUACACCGUGAGCAACAAUGUGGCUGACAGGGGCUACGGCAUCGCGAUGCAGCAUGGCAGUCCCUACAGGGACAUCUUCUCUCAGAGGAUUCUGGAGCUUCAGCAGAAUGGAGACAUGGACAUCCUGAAGCUGAAGUGGUGGCCGCGGGACAGUCCGUGUGACCUGUACUCUCCUGUGGGCACUCGAAAGACUGGCAGCGCCUUGGAUAUCCACAGCUUUGCUGGGGUCUUCUUUGUACUAGCAGCCGGUGUGGUGCUCUCCUGUCUUAUUGCUACUGUGGAGACCUGGUGGACACGAAGGAAGGGCUCCAGAGUGCCAUCGAAGGAGAUAAGUACUCUGUGUUGAGGGGUUAAAGCGGGCGUGGGAGAGAAAUGCAAAAUGCCAUUUUUACCAUCUCACACUUCCAGGACGAUAAGGAGAUCGACCUGGAGCACCUUCAUCACCGGGUUAACAGCUUGUGCACGGAGGAUGAGAGCCCCCACAAACAGUUCUCCACCUCCUCCAUCGACCUGACGCCCCUGGACAUGGACUCCCUCCCAGCCGCCCGGCAGGCCCUGGAGCAGAUUAGUGACUUCCGCAACACUCACAUCACCACCACCACCUUCAUCCCCGAGCAGAUCCAGACUCUCAGCCGCAGCCUGUCGGCCAAAGCGGCGGCCGGCUUCGCCUUCGGGCCCGUGCAGGACCACCGGACUGGGGGGCCCUUCCGGCAGCGGGCCCCCAACGGCGGCUUCUUUCGCAGCCCCAUCAAGACAAUGUCCAGCAUCCCGUAUCAGCACACCCCGGCCCCCAACUUCAGCUACGGCAACGACCCGGACAGGGGCACCUCCAUAUAGACUGCAGGGGUUCCUGGGCCUGUGAGUUGGAAACAAAAAAGAGAUAUAUGUAAAUACAAAUGUUCCUUUUCGGUUGUCGUUUUAUCUUGGCUUUGCUCUUUGCGAUGGAGCUCAUUCGUCCCAACCGAACUCGCCGACAGGACGAGGGUGGAAUAAAAUGAUCAUUAUUGUCGUUGUGGUUUGUCGGGAGAUUUUCUCUGUGAACUAAAUGAAUUUGCCUUUUGUUUGCCACAUUCGAUUCAAAUGUUGCAAUGAUAGUAUGUUUACCUUUUUUGGAUUUUUUUUUUUUUUUUCUCGGGAAGAAAAAAAAAAAGACUCUGCCAAGUGUUUCCCAGAUCUGCAAUAACUCAGUUUGGAAGAAUCUUGUCAACUCAUCGACUGAAUUUUGCUUUGGUUGACGCCUUCAACAUGGCGCUGCUAAACUCAACCUGCUUUUCUCUGAAGCUUCACAGCGAGCGACUGUGUUUCUAAAGACCUCUCAUCCUCUCUGCCAUCUCCCUGAAGCUGAGAUCUACUUUGAGUCUUUAAACGGACACUCUGUGGAAAAGACUCUAAUGAACUUUAAAAUAAAAAAAUAAAAAAAAUUAUAAUAAUAAAGUUAUUAUACUGUGGGGUGGGGGGGUGAAACAAAUGCUACUAAAUGUCUCUUACUGACUUUAAGUAUAACAAAUCUUUAAUGCGUGGAAUGUGUCUGGUCAGAGAGUUUUAACAACAAAAAAGAAAAAAGUGUUCAGAGCUGUCUGUAGUUUUAGUUUUCUCUUUUUUUAAUGAUUAGUUUUGAAAUUGCUUCAGUGCCAUCAUCUUACAUUGAUUUGCACCAUUAAGAGUUUGUAUUCACUAGCCGUACUCCAGGAUUCGAGAAAAACAUUCUGUAGAAUAGCUUCACUGUAUAUGCCACAAUAUCGUGGCUGUGCGUCACAGAUUUUGGAAAUCAAAGAAUGAGAGGGUUUUUAAACAAAUUCUUAACAUGAGCCUUAGGAGACAGGGCUUUUUUUUUUACUUUUCAAGUGUCUGUCCUCAACCUGUUACUAUCUGAAAAUGCUGAUACGGUGGCGACUUUUGAAGGGGUUAUUUGAAAUAUAUUUCUAUUUAAUUUCGUAAAUGUUAAGGGGUACUAUUUAUCUAACUUUUUUUAAAGUGCUAAUUGUUUAAACAAGGCCAUCGAGGUGUGGUGAGAGUUUUUAAAAAAAACACGUUUCUGAGGACAGAAAACAAUCCAAUCCUUUUCACUAACAUAAACUGUAUUAAUAUUUACUAAUGUUAGUCGUUUAGAAUGAGCUUUCAGUUUGUUAUCCUCUGACUAAUUCGCAAAUGUUGUGUGUAGAGAACAGCAACAGUGUUUUGACGCAAGCAUUCUAGAUGUACUUUUCUUAAGAUACGAUUACUGAAAGACUAUAGGAGCAAUUUUAUUUAGUAUCAGUUUAAAGAUUUUUAUUUAGAGUAAAUGAAGAGACAUUAAAGUGUAUAUUUUACAUGCAGAUAAUUUUUUGUUGGAUUUAAAGAAGAUAUAGAGUAUAAUAUCUGAGUCUAUAAAGCUCAGUUAGCCACUAUCACAUUACAAGAAGUUCUCCACGGUUUCUGACAGUAAGGCAUUCCUCAUUUGACUUCAUUUUAAUUUCCAAAUCUGUCAAAAAGGAGGCAAGGUUUUUUUCCGUAAAAGAAGCAUGCAAAACCUGCUAUGCCUGUAACAUUUUUAAUUUCAUACAUAGAAUUGUACAGGAUUACAUCAUUUUCAACUGAUUAUAAUGUACAGUAUUUAAUAUAGGCCUAUUUUGUUGUAUGUGUUGCAUAUUAUUCAAAUGGAACAAACUGAGGCCUCUGUUACAAGUGGCAAAGCUUUCUGUGUAUAAUUUGUCUAAUAAACAUGUUUUCUACAGUG
Molecule: RNA transcript, 5642 nt
Organism: Cyprinus carpio (common carp)
Lineage: Eukaryota; Metazoa; Chordata; Actinopteri; Cypriniformes; Cyprinidae
Gene: grid2
Gene name: glutamate ionotropic receptor delta type subunit 2
Source: RefSeq, a predicted model, not a curated record